UACGUAGGGCGCGAGCGUUGUCCGGAAUUAUUGGGCGUAAAGAGCUCGUAGGCGGCUUGUUGCGUCUGCUGUGAAAUCCCGGGGCUUAACCCCGGGCGUGCAGUGGAUACGGGCAGGCUGGAGGCAGGCAGGGGAGAAUGGAAUUCCUGGUGUAGCGGUGAAAUGCGCAGAUAUCAGGAGGAACACCGGUGGCGAAGGCGGUUCUCUGGGCAUUACCUGACGCUGAGGAGCGAAAGCGUGGGGAGCGAACAGG
This 253-nucleotide ribosomal RNA is filed under the name uncultured bacterium. Its description in RNAcentral is "partial 16S ribosomal RNA". It matches the Rfam family "Bacterial small subunit ribosomal RNA", at positions 524 to 776 of the family's 1533-position model. The record is from RNAcentral.